Molecule: ribosomal RNA, 422 nt
Filed under: uncultured bacterium
Lineage: Bacteria
Description: bacterial SSU rRNA
Rfam family: Bacterial small subunit ribosomal RNA
Source: RNAcentral
GGAUUCAUACAAGCGGUGGAGCAUGUGGUUUAAUUCGAUAAUACGCGCAAAACCUUACCAACCCUUGACAUAUGUAAGUAUAUUUAUAUUUUAUUUUCAAACUUAUAUACAGGUGUUGCAUGGCUGUCGUCAGCUCGUGUCGUGAGAUGUUAGGUUAAGUCCUUAAACGAGCGCAACCUUUAUUCUUAGUUACUUAAAAAUUUAAUAGUAAAUUUUUUGCUCUAAGAAAACUGUCGGCGAAGAGUCGAAGGAAGGUGGAGAUGAAGUCAAGUAAUCAUGGCCCUUAUGGGUUGGGCUACACACGUGCUACAAUGGUAAUGACAAUAAGAAGCGAAAGCGUGAGCUGGAGCAAAUCUCUAAACAUUAUCUCAGUUCGGAUUGUAGGCUGCAAUUCGCCUACAUGAAGUUGGAAUCGCUAGUAA